This is an RNA transcript of Populus trichocarpa (black cottonwood), 1100 nucleotides long. RefSeq lists it as uncharacterized. Lineage: Eukaryota; Viridiplantae; Streptophyta; Magnoliopsida; Malpighiales; Salicaceae. The record is from RefSeq and is a predicted model, not a curated record. The transcript has 5 exons.
AAGUCCCCAACACUAAGGCUUCUAAUUAACCCAUCUACCAAACAUCCAACCUCAAACCACAAUCCCCAUACCGAAGGCAAAAACCCAUGAAAGAAUCGAGAAGCACUGGUUAAAACGCCUGACAAUUUCACCUUCUAAUCAAAUCAAAACCCAUAAUUUUUAUUCUCGAAAUGCAGAGAUUGUGCACAAAGCUUCGAUCUUUAGCCUCUGUUUCCUCCUCACAUCGCCUUCUCCACUCGUCUCCGCAAUUUUAUCACCGACCUCUCCAUUUCGCCGCUGCUUCAAGUAAAUGGAGUCUUAAUGGGUCCCUUUUGAACACAUCUUCUUCGUUACCAAUUCAGCUUCCUUCGCUACCAUUUCUUCCCUCUUUUCGUCUGUCUCCACUCUCCGACCCUAGGAUUUUCGCUCUGGUGUGCCUUCAGUUGGUGCAAGUGCGUCAUGUUUCAUCAAGGGAGCGGAAAAAGAAUAGGAAGCCAAUGACUCCACUCACCUCCAAAGUCAAAAAGUUUAAAAUGAAGGCUUACUCGUCGUAUAAGGACAGGUUUAGGACAAUGAAUGAUGGGACUAUUCGUCGCUGGAGGGAGGGCAAGAAUCAUAAUGCGCACUUGAAGGUCAUUGCAUUUAGGAUCUCUUUUGGUCCUGGUGUGCUCAACUCGAUUUUCUUUCCAUUUGCAUUGUGGUAUUGAAGAGUUUUAUUGAUGGUGGACAAAAAUAUCCUAUUAGCUUCUGUUUACUGUACCAUGGUAUCCCCUAGCACAUUGUAAAUCAUAUUUUGCCCUGAGGAAUGACGGUGGAAGAUACAUUGCCCAAUGAAGGUGGCAUUUUGAAGAUUCUUUUCCUGAAUGGAGAAGUGGUGUUGAUGGGUUUGAACUUCACUCAAUCAGAAAUAAGAUGAACACAACUUGAACUGUUUAUUUGUGAAGUGCCCCCCGCCCCCUAUUCCUCUCCUCUCAGGUUCCAAAAAUUUCAAAGAAAUCAAGACGUAGACUUAGACAACCAUCUACUGUCCCUGCAGCCUAUGCCAAAGUCAUGAAGAAGCUUAGUUUCUGUGUUUAAAAAUGCAGAUGCUGCCAAUUACUUGGAUGGAAGACGAAAAUGUC